GUGAAGCGUUCAUUUGGGCUGUGCAGUCUUCAGCUGACAUAUUUUGAUGAAGAAAAUGAAGAG
Non-coding RNA from Tetraodon nigroviridis (spotted green pufferfish), 63 nucleotides. The record is from Rfam. Lineage: Eukaryota; Metazoa; Chordata; Actinopteri; Tetraodontiformes; Tetraodontidae.